GAUGAACGCUAGCGGCAGGCUUAACACAUGCAAGUCGAGGGGUAGAAGGAGCUUGCUCCUUUGAGACCGGCGCACGGGUGCGUAACGCGUAUGCAAUCUACCUUUUGCAGAGGAUAGCCCAGAGAAAUUUGGAUUAAUACCUCAUAGUAUGUGAGGAUGGCAUCAUUUUCACAUUAAAGUCACAACGGCAAAAGAUGAGCAUGCGUCCCAUUAGCUAGUUGGUAAGGUAACGGCUUACCAAGGCUACGAUGGGUAGGGUCCUGAGAGGGAGAUCCCCCACACUGGUACUGAGACACGGGACCAGACUCCUACGGGAGGCAGCAGUGAGGAAUAUUGGACAAUGGGCGCAAGCCUGAUCCAGCAAUGCCGCGUGAGUGAUGAAGGCC
RNAcentral lists this ribosomal RNA (386 nucleotides) under uncultured bacterium. RNAcentral's name for it is "bacterial SSU rRNA". It matches the Rfam family "Bacterial small subunit ribosomal RNA", at positions 28 to 416 of the family's 1533-position model. The record is from RNAcentral.